Molecule: long non-coding RNA, 87 nt
Organism: Etheostoma cragini (Arkansas darter)
Lineage: Eukaryota; Metazoa; Chordata; Actinopteri; Perciformes; Percidae
Exons: 3
Source: RefSeq, a predicted model, not a curated record
UUCCCUAAAAAUGUUGUAGGGAUGUUCUGAGAAAAUAGAGUUGGUAUGUGCUUGUUAUUAUCAAUGUGGACAACUAACUGUACAUCA